GACGGAGGGUGCUAGCGUUGUUCGGAAUUACUGGGCGUAAAGGGCGCGUAGGCGGCCUGGUCAGUCAGGUGUGAAAGCCCGGGGCUCAACCCCGGAACGGCACCCGAGACGGCCAGGCUGGAGACCGGGAGAGGAGGGUGGAAUAGCCAGUGUAGAGGUGAAAUUCGUAGAUAUUGGCUGGAACACCGGUGGCGAAAGCGGCUCUCUGGCCCGGUUCUGACGCUGAGGCGCGAAAGCGUGGGGAGCAAACAGG
RNAcentral lists this ribosomal RNA (253 nucleotides) under uncultured bacterium. Its description in RNAcentral is "partial 16S ribosomal RNA". It matches the Rfam family "Bacterial small subunit ribosomal RNA", at positions 524 to 776 of the family's 1533-position model. The record is from RNAcentral.